UACAGAGGGUGCGAGCGUUGUCCGGAAUCACUGGGCGUAAAGGGCGCGUAGGCGGCCUGGUAAGUCGGGGGUGAAACGCUGCGGCUCAACCGCAGCACUGCCUUCGAGACUGUCAGGCUUGAGCACGGUAGAGGCAGGUGGAAUUCCCGGUGUAGAGGUGAAAAUCGUAGAUAUUGGGAAGAACACCGGUGGCGAAGGCGGCUACCUGGUCCGGUUCUGACG
This 222-nucleotide ribosomal RNA is filed under the name uncultured prokaryote. RNAcentral describes it as "partial 16S ribosomal RNA". It matches the Rfam family "Bacterial small subunit ribosomal RNA", at positions 524 to 745 of the family's 1533-position model. The record is from RNAcentral.